GGGCGAAUAGCUCAGUUGGGAGAGCACUUGCCUUACAAGCAAGGGGGCACAGGUUCGAGCCCUGUUUCGCCCACCA
Molecule: transfer RNA, 76 nt
Filed under: Bacillota bacterium
Lineage: Bacteria; Bacillati; Bacillota
Description: Firmicutes bacterium (anaerobic digester metagenome) tRNA-Val
Rfam family: tRNA
About the family: Transfer RNA (tRNA) molecules are approximately 80 nucleotides in length. Their secondary structure includes four short double-helical elements and three loops (D, anti-codon, and T loops).
Source: RNAcentral